AUUGAACGCUGGCGGCAGGCUUAACACAUGCAAGUCGAGCGGAGCGAGGGUGCUUGCACCUUAGCUUAGCGGCGGACGGGUGAGUAAUGCUUAGGAAUCUGCCUAUUAGUGGGGGACAACAUUCCGAAAGGGAUGCUAAUACCGCAUACGCCCUACGGGGGAAAGCAGGGGAUCCUCGGACCUUGCGCUAAUAGAUGAGCCUGAGUCGGAUUAGCUAGUUGGUGGGGUAAAGGCCUACCAAGGCGACGAUCUGUAGCGGGUCUGAGAGGAUGAUCCGCCACACUGGGACUGGGACACGGCCCAGACUCCUCCGGGAGGCAGCAGUGGGGAAUAUUGGACAAUGGGCGGAAGCCUGAUCCAGCCAUGCCGCGUGUGUGAAGAAGGCCUUUUGGUUGUAAAGCACUUUAAGCGAGGAGGAGGCUACUAGUAUUAAUACUACUGGAUAGUGGACGUUACUCGCAGAAUAAGCACCGGCUAACUCUGUGCCAGCAGCCGCCGUAA
RNAcentral lists this ribosomal RNA (501 nucleotides) under uncultured bacterium. RNAcentral describes it as "partial 16S ribosomal RNA". It matches the Rfam family "Bacterial small subunit ribosomal RNA", at positions 30 to 523 of the family's 1533-position model. The record is from RNAcentral.